AGCGAACGCUGGCGGCAUGCCUAACACAUGCAAGUCGCACGGGGGGGCUUCGGCCUCCCAGUGGCGGACGGGUGAGGAACGCGUAGGGACCUGUCGAGGGGUGGGGGAUAACCGCGGGAAACUGCCGCUAAUACCGCAUGACGCCGCGGCGUGACAGCCGGGGCCAAAGGCGAAAGCCGCCCGCCGAGGGGCCUGCGUCCGAUUAGCUGGUUGGCGGGGUAGCGGCCCACCAAGGCGUCGAUCGGUAGCUGGUCUGAGAGGGUGAUCAGCCACACCGGGACUGAGACACGGCCCGGACUCCUACGGGAGGCAGCAGUGGGGAAUAUUGGACAAUGGGCGCAAGCCUGAUCCAGCAAUGCCGCGUGGGUGAAGAAGGUCUUCGGAUUGUAAAGCCCUUUCGGCGGGGACGAUGGUGACGGUACCCGCAGAAGAAGCCCCGGCUAACUUCGUG
RNAcentral lists this ribosomal RNA (451 nucleotides) under uncultured bacterium. RNAcentral describes it as "partial 16S ribosomal RNA". It matches the Rfam family "Bacterial small subunit ribosomal RNA", at positions 28 to 507 of the family's 1533-position model. The record is from RNAcentral.